ACGGGAGGCAGCAGUGGGGAAUAUUGGGCAAUGGAGGGAACUCUGACCCAGCAAUGCCGCGUGAGUGAAGAAGGUUUUCGGAUUGUAAAACUCUUUAAGUGUGGAAGAAGAAAGUGACAGUACACACAGAAUAAGCAUCGGCUAACUACGUGCCAGCAGCCGCGGUAAUACGUAGGAUGCGAGCGUUAUCCGGAAUGACUGGGCGUAAAGGGUGCGUAGGUGGUGUAUCAAGUUAGUAGCGUAAUCCCGUGGCUUAACUGCGGGGCUACUACUAAAACUGAUAUACUCGAGUGUGGUAGGGGUAUGUGGAAUUCCCAGUGUAGCGGUGGAAUGCGUAGAUAUUGGGAGGAACACCGGAGGCGAAAGCGACAUACUGGGCCAUAACUGACACUGAGGCACGAAAGCGUGGGGAGCAAACAGGAUUAGAUACCCUGGUA
This 437-nucleotide ribosomal RNA is filed under the name uncultured bacterium. RNAcentral's name for it is "partial 16S ribosomal RNA". It matches the Rfam family "Bacterial small subunit ribosomal RNA", at positions 341 to 792 of the family's 1533-position model. The record is from RNAcentral.